Molecule: ribosomal RNA, 253 nt
Filed under: uncultured bacterium
Lineage: Bacteria
Description: partial 16S ribosomal RNA
Rfam family: Bacterial small subunit ribosomal RNA
Source: RNAcentral
UACAGAGGGUGCAAGCGUUGUUCGGAUUUACUGAGCGUAAAGGGCUCGUAGGCGGCCAACUCAGUCGGACGUGAAAUCCCUCGGCUUAACCGGGGAACUGCGUCCGAUACUGGAUGGCUCGAGUGUGGGAGAGGGAUGCGGAAUUCCAGGUGUAGCGGUGAAAUGCGUAGAUAUCUGGAGGAACACCGGUGGCGAAGGCGGCAUCCUGGACUACUACUGACGCUGAGGAGCGAAAGCCAGGGGAGCAAACGGG